CGUCACUAGCUCAUGGACUCUUGCCAAUAUGAAAGAAAUUAAUUUAUCAGAUAAAUUCUUACAUAAAUUAUGUUUUCAUGAUUCAGAUGGAAUGUUAAAAAUUGUAUGUUCUAAUUUGCUUUAUUCUUUAGGCAUCCUUUGUUGAAUAGCCAUACACAGGGGUGAGCCAAUUACAUGAGGCAUCUGUGUGCAGCCACCAAUCAGCAGCUAAUAAGCCUGUCUAGUUAUGCUUUUCAACAAAUGAUAUCAAGUGAAUAAAGCAAAUUAGAUAAUAGAAGUAAAUUGGAAGGUUGUUUUAAACUGUAUUCUCUAUCUGAAUCAUGAAAGAAAACAUUUGGGUUUUAUGUCACUUUAAGUAUCUAUACCUACCAACCUUAGCAGAUAUUCUGUUAUACAGUCAAUGUGUAUAUUGAGUUUUAACAUUAAAGGGACAGUCAAAAUUAAAACUUUCAUGAUUCAUAAGAAAAUUUAUAUAUUAAGAAAUUGUAUGCUCUGUCAUGAAAGAAAAACUUGGGGUUACAUGUCCCUUUAAAGGGAUAAACAGGUCAAAAUUGAAAUAUUCAUGGGUGCAUUUCAGUUUUAAAUAGAAGUAUUUUUGUGAUAUACUUCCAUCAGCAGAAAUGCUUCUAGCAAGUGUUACUGUUUUCAGCAGCGUAUGCGCAUAUGAUGUGAGAGCCCGUACCCCACACUUCAUAGAGCUGGUGGUGUGUAUUGGACCUGUGAAGGCAAUGCCAUACAAGCCAUUGCGGACUCUCAGAACAACUGAUGUUUGAAUACUGGUGCACGGGCCUGCACAGCAUAUGUGUGUAUGCAACUGAAAACAAUAAUAGCUUUUACUAGAAGAAUGUUUGCUAAUUGAAGUGUGUUGCAAAAAAUGCUUCUAUUCAAAAUGGAAAUGCAUUUCAGGUUUGACCUUUCUAUUCCUUUAAUAUUUUGAUAAUUUUAUCAUAUUUCAGCUGAAACAUUUAAAUCCCUACAGUUUACCUUUUAUAUGGAGACGUUGUGCAACAAAAAUUGAAAUAAUAAGCUUGCUUCAUUUUAGUAGCAAUAAAGGCUACUUUCGAAUUUCUGUAUUUCCCACUUAUUGGAAUGAAGUGAUUUUUAUUGUUUUACCUCUACUAGUAUUUGUGGUUGCAACCUAAUUUUAGAGGGAUACAAAUAACUAACAUACUAUUUUAUUGACCAUAUAAAAUCUACAUAAGGAAGCAACUCUACUGUAUAAGCACAAACACCAGUUAAAUAUCCUCUUUAAGGAACUACAAGGAAAAUAAUUUAAAGGGCACUUUUUUGCGUGGAAAGUUGCUUAUUUAUUUAUGCAGUACCGGUAGUAACUUAUUUCCCUUAAUACAUAGCAUUGCAUGUUAAUGUGGAGUGUGUAUUUGUAUUCACAUGCACACAGUGUUAGAAAAUAUCACAGUAACGGUACAGGUCUGCUCGGCAUAACACACAGGAAAUAGCCUAAUUUCUCACUUUAUUUAAAUUUGUUCCUAGUGCAUAACUCGUGGAAAUUUUAUAUAGCUGGUGGGGGAGAGAGGGCUCCUGAGAAGCUUCUGCCUAGGGGUUUUACCAAGGUAAAUCUGGCCCUGAUUAAAAAUUCAGAUGGCUUAGAGAUUUGUAUACACUUUCAGGAUUUUAGAAUCUGAAUUCACUUUGUACUAAGCUAAUAUGUUUACAGUAGGGAAGAAUACAUUUAUAAAUUAAUUUGACUGCAAUGUAUAAGAAUUAUAUCUGCCUUUAGAGCAUGUUUAAAUUUGAGAUUGCGAAAGAAUGAUGCUGUUAUUGUCUUUCGAAGGGUAAUAUAGUCACCCUUUGAAGCCCACUGAAGAUGGUAUGCAGAAUAUUGAAGAACUUCCCACAUCUUUUGUUAAGAUUCGGAACAUCCCUAGCAGGCUUGUUACUAAGUACAGACCAUGUAAUAUCAGGUUGAAAUGAAAACGGAAAAUAAAGACAAAUACUAGGACAAAAUAAAAAACCUGCUGCUUCAACCCACGAUUCAGAGAGAGCAUGCAAUUGUAAACCACUUUCAAUAUCAAAAUGUGCACAAUCUUUUUACACACACACUGAGGCACUAGCUCCUACUGAUAAUGUGCAUGAAAUGACAGUAUAUACAUAUGCAUUUUGUGAUUGCCCGAUAGCUGUCACGAUACAGGGGGAAGGAAAGUUGAACUGACUGAAAUUUGUCUGGAAAUAAAAAAAAAUCUACACAUUUGA
This is a long non-coding RNA of Bombina bombina (fire-bellied toad), 2211 nucleotides long. RefSeq lists it as uncharacterized. Lineage: Eukaryota; Metazoa; Chordata; Amphibia; Anura; Bombinatoridae. The transcript is spliced from 2 exons. The record is from RefSeq and is a predicted model, not a curated record.